GACGAACGCUGGCGGCGUGCCUAACACAUGCAAGUCGAGCGAAUGAAGUUCCUUCGGGAAUGGAUUUAGCGGCGGACGGGUGAGUAACACGUGGGCAACCUGCCUCAUAGAGGGGAAUAGCCUUCCGAAAGGGAGAUUAAUACCGCAUAAGAUUGUAGUACCGCAUGAUACAGCAAUUAAAGGAGCAAUCCGCUAUGAGAUGGGCCCGCGGCGCAUUAGCUAGUUGGUGAGGUAACGGCUCACCAAGGCGACGAUACGUAGCCGACCUGAGAGGGUGAUCGGCCACAUUGGGGCUGAGACACGGCCCAGACUCCUACGGGAGGCAGCAGUGGGGAAUAUUGCACAAUGGGGGAAACCCUGAUGCAGCAACGCCGCGUGAGUGAUGACGGCCUUCGGGUUGUAAAGCUCUGUCUUCAGGGACGAUAAUGACGGUACCUGAGGAGGAAGCCACGGCUAACUACGUGCCAGCCGCCGCGGUAA
This 480-nucleotide ribosomal RNA is filed under the name uncultured bacterium. RNAcentral describes it as "partial 16S ribosomal RNA". It matches the Rfam family "Bacterial small subunit ribosomal RNA", at positions 28 to 523 of the family's 1533-position model. The record is from RNAcentral.